GAUACCCUGUUAUUUUAAUAUAAAUUAAUAAAUUAAGGUAUUAAUAGAUAUAUUCUUUAAACUUAAAAAAUUUGGCGGUAUUUUAGUCUAUUCAGAGGAACCUGUUUUAUAAUCGAUAAUCCACGUUGUACCUUACUUAAGUUUGUAAUCAGUUUAUAUACCGUUGUUAUUAUUUUGAAUAUUUUAUAAGAAAGUUAAUUUUCAUAAUUUUUUAUAAAAAAAUAUAUCAAAUCAAGGUGUAGCUUAUAUUUAAGAAAAAAUGGGUUACAAUAAAAUUAUUUAUAUGAAUAAAAAUUUGAAAUAUUUAAUUGAAAUUGGAUUUGAUAGUAAAAUUAUAUAGAUUAAUAAUUUGAUUUGAGCUCUAAAAUAUGUACAAAUCGCCCGUC
Molecule: ribosomal RNA, 386 nt
Filed under: Ventrops sp. n. AT-2015
Lineage: Eukaryota; Metazoa; Arthropoda; Insecta; Diptera; Rhinophoridae
Description: partial small subunit ribosomal RNA
Source: RNAcentral